CUUGGUCAUUUAGAGGAAGUAAAAGUCGUAACAAGGUCUCCGUAGGUGAACCUGCGGAGGGAUCAUUACUGAGUGAGCGUCCUCGGGCGCGACCUCCAACCCUUUUGUAUUCCGACCAUGUUGCCUCGGGGGUGACCCGGCCUUCGGGCGUCGGGGCCCCCGGUGGACCCUAUAACUCUGCAUCUCUGCGUCUGAGUAUGAUAUUGAAUCAAUCAAAACUUUCAACAACGGAUCUCUUGGUUCUGGCAUCGAUGAAGAACGCAGCGAAAUGCGAUAAGUAAUGUGAAUUGCAGAAUUCAGUGAAUCAUCGAAUCUUUGAACGCACAUUGCGCCCCUCGGUAUUCCGGGGGGCAUGCCUGUUCGAGCGUCAUUACACCCCUCCAGCCUCGCUGGGUUUUGGACGUCCGCGGAGCAAUCUGCGCGCCUUAAUGUCGCCGGCCGGACCGACCGUCUCUAAGCGUUGUAGUAACAGUUCGCUUGCGGGCACGGGAGGGACGUCGCCGUUAAAACCUCUAUCACAGGUUGACCUCGGAUCAAGUAGGGAUACCCGCUGAACUUAAGCAUAUCAAUAAGCGGAG
RNAcentral lists this ribosomal RNA (578 nucleotides) under uncultured fungus. Its description in RNAcentral is "eukaryotic LSU rRNA". The stretch from base 217 to 370 matches the Rfam family "5.8S ribosomal RNA". Lineage: Eukaryota; Fungi. The record is from RNAcentral.